RNAcentral lists this ribosomal RNA (253 nucleotides) under uncultured bacterium. RNAcentral's name for it is "partial 16S ribosomal RNA". It matches the Rfam family "Bacterial small subunit ribosomal RNA", at positions 524 to 776 of the family's 1533-position model. The record is from RNAcentral.
UACGUAGGGUGCGAGCGUUGUCCGGAAUUAUUGGGCGUAAAGAGCUUGUAGGCGGUUUGUCGCGUCUGCUGUGAAAUCUCAAGGCUCAACCUUGAGCUUGCAGUGGGUACGGGCAGACUAGAGUGUGGUAGGGGAGACUGGAAUUCCUGGUGUAGCGGUGAAAUGCGCAGAUAUCAGGAGGAACACCAAUGGCGAAGGCAGCUCGCUGGAACGGUACUGACGCUGAGGUGCGAAAGCGUGGGGAGCGAACAGG